CAUUCUCUACCCAGUAAUCCAGGGGUAGGUAACCUAUGGCACGGGUGCUGAAGGCGACACACGAGCUGAUUGUCAGUGGGACUCACACUACCCGAGUCCUGGCCACCAGCCCAAGGGUCUCUGCAGUUUAAUUUAAUUUUAAAUGAAGCUUCUUAAACAUUUUAACAA
Molecule: non-coding RNA, 168 nt
Organism: Chelonoidis abingdonii (Abingdon island giant tortoise)
Lineage: Eukaryota; Metazoa; Chordata; Testudines; Testudinidae
Source: RefSeq, a predicted model, not a curated record